GUUUUUCAGUUUUCUGGCUUACUGAGCCAUAAACUUGUUAUAAUAAGCAAAAUGUGAAUUUCUCAAGUAAUCCUCAUCACCUGAACCAAGGAACUGCGGUUGCGAGGGAACUAUCAAAUAUCACAAGGCUUGCGAUGAAAUGAGAGUUGGCUACGCUCUGACAACCCCUGUCAGUGAGACAACAACAGCUGUUCUGAACAAACACCACAGCCAGAAAAGAACAAAUUAAUGGUCAGCCAAGGCGAAGUGAAAUGGAGAACAAACAAAGGAUAAACUUGACCAAGCUAUGACCAACCAAGGAUGCUGGUAAUUGUUUGUGUAAUAGCAGGUUCCUUGUUCCUACUGUACAUGUAUGGCAAGAUGCCUGCUAUCAGCUGAGCUGUGAAAAUGAAAGUAUCAGAAUAUCUCUGUGUGUGAACUCUGCAAGAAACAAACACUACCCUCUGCUUAGAAAAAAAAAAAGGCACAAACCAGCAAAACCCAACACCCUUGCUGAAGAAAGCUUUGGUCUUCCAAAAUGAGUGUAAGGGAAAAGUCAGUAGUAGUAAAUUCUACCCUGUCAGAGAACUCUCACCCAAUUUAUUCUGUUUACAGAUUUGGUUUAAUAAUGAUUAUUUCUCACACCUCUUUGUAAAAUAUUCUGAGAUUCACUGAUAAAAAGUGCUAGAGAAUGAAAUAAUAUUCAACUAUUGUACAGUUACAGAUCAUAAUUUUAAUAGUUUUAUAGUUUGAUGAUAAUUUAUUAAUAUCUUGCUUAUGAUUACAACUAAGACUGUAUUUCUUCUUUUGAACCUAUGAAUAAAAUGUAUCACUCAUUUAACUACUUGCUCAGAUCCUCCCACAUCCAGUCAGUCCACCAUCACCCCUGUCACGACACCCAGAGAGCAUGUACAACUGUUCUGAAAAUGUACCCUCAGCAUAAUUUACAAAGAUUAAUCUACUAAUACAGAUGUUUAACUAUCUGUCAAUCAGCACAGAUGGUUUGAUAUAACAUGAGUUUCCAACUAUGUUUCCUGUUUGUCUCUUCUGUUCCCCAUAAAUGUGUUAAGAUUCCAGUUCUGUAUAGUUUGAAGCAGCUUCAGGUUUUCUUGGAAUUAUAAAAUACAAGUUCAGGAAAAAUUCUUUUAUAUCAUACUCUCUAUUACUGCAUAGCACAAAUCCUGCAACACCUGCUGCCCACAAAGUAAGGUGCAUAUCCAUAGCAAGGCUGGUUAAUCUAUUGUGAGAAUGGUGGAUGACCUUCACUGGGUCAUGUGUCAAUAAAAAUAGAUGGGGAAUUCA
This 1281-nucleotide long non-coding RNA is filed under the name Strigops habroptila (Kakapo). RNAcentral describes it as "lncRNA (ENSSHBG00005013168.1)". Lineage: Eukaryota; Metazoa; Chordata; Aves; Psittaciformes; Psittacidae. The record is from RNAcentral.